GAUGAACGCUGGCGGCGUGCUUAACACAUGCCAGUCGAACGAUGAAGCCCAGCUUGCUGGGUGGAUUAGUGGCGAACGGGUGAGUAACACGUGAGUAACCUGCCCUUGACUCUGGGAUAAGCCUGGGAAACUGGGUCUAAUACUGGAUAUGACUUCUCAUCGCAUGGUGGGGGGUGGAAAGAUUUAUUGGUCUUGGAUGGACUCGCGGCCUAUCAGCUUGUUGGUGAGGUAAUGGCUCACCAAGGCGACGACGGGUAGCCGGCCUGAGAGGGUGACCGGCCACACUGGGACUGAGACACGGCCCAGACUCCUACGGGAGGCAGCGGUGGGGAAUAUUGCACAAUGGGCGCAAGCCUGAUGCAGCGACGCCGCGUGGGGGAUGACGGCCUUCGGGUCGUAAACCUCUUUCAGUAGGGAAGAAGCGAGAGUGACGGUACCUGCAGAAGAAGCGCCGGCUAACUACGUG
RNAcentral lists this ribosomal RNA (466 nucleotides) under uncultured bacterium. Its description in RNAcentral is "partial 16S ribosomal RNA". It matches the Rfam family "Bacterial small subunit ribosomal RNA", at positions 28 to 507 of the family's 1533-position model. The record is from RNAcentral.